Molecule: unclassified non-coding RNA, 303 nt
Filed under: plant metagenome
Description: partial contains 5.8S ribosomal RNA, internal transcribed spacer 2, and large subunit ribosomal RNA
Rfam family: 5.8S ribosomal RNA (bases 1-105)
Source: RNAcentral
GAAAUGCGAUAAGUAGUGUGAAUUGCAAAAUUCAGUGAAUCAUCGAAUCUUUGAACGCACAUUGCGCCCUUUGGUAUUCCUUAGGGCAUGCCUGUUCGAGCGUCAUUUAAACCUUCAAGCUCAGCUUGGUGAUGGGUGACUGUCCCCCCCCUCGCGGGGGGACUCGCCUCAAAAACAUUGGCGGCCGGUACAUUGGCUUCGAGCGCAGCAGAAACGCGGUCUCGAGUCCUGUGGAUCGGCUCCCAUAAGCCUCUUCUUUUAUUUUGACCUCGGAUCAGGUAGGGAUACCCGCUGAACUUAAGC